AGCUAGAUUGAGGGUGAGGUUAGAGUGGCACAUGGCUCUGUACCCCAUUGGGUACCUCCAGCAGGCCGGGCACUGCAGCCCCUUGGCCUCCGGCACUCUGCGAGGGAACAUGCUGGCAUGAGUUUGCUGGUCCCGAUGGGGAAGAGUCAGGGAUCCCUGAGAGAGCCUGUCAGGAGGAGAGAAGGGACGCCGGGGUGAAAGGGAGGAAGGAGGUGGCAGAAGAGGCCUCGAGGAUGACGUGGGGCUGUAGAUGCAGGAGGCAGCUGGAGCCUGUGGCACUGGGGCAUGGCGGGCCUCAAGGAUUUCACUGCCACCCUUGCCGAGGAGGGUACCCUGAGGUACACCGUGGAAGGAGGAAGGGAAGGAGCGCUGGCCAGGCAGAUGGAGAGACGCACAGUUACCACCUCCGCCCAGGCUACUUCCGGGCGUGCCACAGGGGCCCGGCCCUGCCUUCAGCAUCUCCAGAGGUGGAGCUGACGGUGGGGUCCUCGUUGGACAUCAGAUUCCACACUGAGAUGAGCCUGGGAAGCAGCCAGGGCCAGAGAAGACAGCACGAAGCACGCAGGCGUCAAGGCGACCUCCGGCAUUCCCUGGGACCUAUCGUGCGUCCGCCCGCAGACAUUCCUCAACAGAGAUCUGUGAUUUAAAACACUACCUCGGUGGUUCGUGAGUGUCAGGAUUCAUGCUAAGCAGGCGCCCUCCUCGGGACACAUGGAUGGUGCGUUCUCUUGUACAGUAGGAGAGGCCCCUGGGCUCUGAUCAAUGUCAGAGGCGGGGUCUCCCCGUGGGGCUGUGGGGGCGGCCAAAGGCCAAGGCCCACUUCAGGUCCCUCCUCUCAGCAGCAGCCACUGUGUCCAGAGAAACUCACAGCUCGGGACUGAGCCUCGGGAUGGUGGCCUGUGCUUGAGAGCCCCCUCCGGGUAGAGUCGUGGCUGCUCCAUCCGAGGACCUCUGCGGUGGUGGGAUGGACAAAAAUGCCGGGAAUUUAACCUGCAGUUCUGCUAGAAGAUUUGAUAGAUGGGCUGCGGCCCCUUUAGCAGGCGUGGCAGCACUAGCAUUUCCUGCCCAUUCAAUGAAUAGUCCCCGUGCUGAGCAUUUUACUUGUAAAUAACCAAAGAAUCACAAGAAGCAUCAAGAAGGACAGCCCAUAGAAGUAUUAACCAGCAAGAAAAAGUUUUGGAUCAAAAAAAGUUUUUUCUAAAAUGGGGGAAAAAAAGCAAUAAAUUGGAACCCGCCACCCGCAACCCUCAUCUCAAAUGCUUCUCCAACAAGAAUGGGUACUAGGCUUAAUACCUUCGUGACAAAGUAAUCUUUACAACAAACCCCUGCGACUCGAGUUUACCCCAUAACAAACCUGCACGUGUGCCCCUGAACUUAAAUAAAGGGCGCCUCCGGGGGUCAUCUCCGUCAUCAUUAGACGGCACACCUGCCGGAAUCGACCGUGCCCAAAUCCCAGUGAAUGAAACACAUGAUAAACUCAGACAAUGAAUACAGAACAAAAGGAGGAAAAAUAAAUGUAAAUGGAGGAGCGAGAUUCAGAAGCGGAACGGAGCCUGGAGAGUAAGAGAGCUAAGCUGCAAGCCACCGCAGCUCCUGCAGAAGAAGCGAGGCAGACGGCCCGGAAACCACGGUGCUGUCGUCGAGGGCGAUUCUGGAACUGGAAAAAUAACUAAGAUUGGAAAAGGAGGGCUUGUGGAAUCCUGAGUCAGCAGCAACUGAGGUGACAGGAGGCGUCCUUGGAAGGUGUUUCGCCACAGGGAGGAUCUGUAGGAGCUGAGGGCAAUGCACUGGUCCCUGAGCAGUCCCCAGCCAGCCACCAACCAACCCAUGGUGCUUCCUAGACAUUCCUGGAAUGAAAGACCAAACACAUCAGAAAGGUCUGGGGCUAUCUGGUGAGACAAAUAAAAGGAGAAGGUGGCAGAAUGACAUCUAUGGGGAAAGUGGCUCCAUGUCCACUGAUGAUGCCAUCUAGACGCAGAGGCCAUGGGAAGCGUUUCUCGCAUGAAUGCCCACCAGAUACCCACAUUCCUGAGCCGGGCACCACUGCCGAUGAGGUAAUGGGCACUGGCAAGCAAAUCAACCCCCAAACUUAACCGAGCAGAGGCUGGUGAGGAGAGACAGCUUGGAGAGCCGCUGGUGUCGCGAAGGUCAGGUCACGCACGCUGGGGUGGUGAGGACAGCUUCGAAGCUUUAGACUUGCUUUUCACAAAAGGCUGGAGGAAAGACUUUUUUAAAUGAGAAAGAUACACGUAUAAAGAGAAUUAAGAAAUUUUGCA
This 2276-nucleotide long non-coding RNA is filed under the name Homo sapiens (human). Its description in RNAcentral is "novel transcript". The record is from RNAcentral. Lineage: Eukaryota; Metazoa; Chordata; Mammalia; Primates; Hominidae.